This is a small nucleolar RNA of Misgurnus anguillicaudatus (oriental weatherfish), 69 nucleotides long. RefSeq annotates it as small nucleolar RNA SNORD18. The record is from RefSeq and is a predicted model, not a curated record. NCBI's taxonomy places the organism in Eukaryota, Metazoa, Chordata, Actinopteri, Cypriniformes, Cobitidae.
AGACAAUGAUGAGUUCUACUUCUGGUCCGUGUUUUUGAACACAAUGAUAUCUGUAGAAGUUCUGAGUUA